GACGAACGCUGGCGGCGUGCUUAACACAUGCAAGUCGAACGGAAAGGCCCUGCUUUUGUGGGGUGCUCGAGUGGCGAACGGGUGAGUAACACGUGAGUAACCUGCCCUUGACUUUGGGAUAACUUCAGGAAACUGGGGCUAAUACCGGAUAGGAGCUCCUGCUGCAUGGUGGGGGUUGGAAAGUUUCGGCGGUUGGGGAUGGACUCGCGGCUUAUCAGCUGGUUGGUGGGGUAGUGGCGUACCAAGGCUUUGACGGGUAGCCGGCCUGAGAGGGUGACCGGCGACAUUGGGACUGAGAGACGGCGCAGACGCCUACGGGAGGCAGCAGUGGGGAAUAUUGCGCAAUGGGCGGAAGCCUGAGGCAGCAACGCCGCGUGCGGGAUGACGUCCUUCGGGUUGUAAACCGCUUUCGCCUGUGACGAAGCGUGAGUGACGGUAAUGGGUAAAGAAGCACCGGCUAACUACGUG
Molecule: ribosomal RNA, 468 nt
Filed under: uncultured bacterium
Lineage: Bacteria
Description: partial 16S ribosomal RNA
Rfam family: Bacterial small subunit ribosomal RNA
Source: RNAcentral